This 629-nucleotide non-coding RNA is filed under the name Pan troglodytes (chimpanzee). Lineage: Eukaryota; Metazoa; Chordata; Mammalia; Primates; Hominidae. The record is from RNAcentral.
GGAGGGCCCAGGGUCCUUUGAGCUCCUAGAGGUCCCGUGUGGAACCAUCUGGAAGAGGUAGGAUCCCCUCGCGAGUUUACCCCGGACGUGUGGCGAAUAAAGUUAAGCAUUUUUAACAGUGAUCACCAGAACGCACCUUUGGAUGCUGCAGCAAAAAGUCCACGACUUCUUCAAAGUACUCCAGAUGUACAUCAUUCAGAUCUUCGGGGAGGUCUUCAAAUCUGAAAUAAGCCAGGGCAAGCACAGCAAAACCAUGUCCGGCCAGGAGGCUGGCCCUGUAUUCACAAAGGCCCCCGCCGCUCCCAAACAGAUCAAUGAUCCCAGGAAAGGGCCCCCUGCCUGGAGAACAUCACAAAUCACAAGGAGCUUUAGUUUCUCAAAAGACAGUAAGCAAACAAGUUUUUGAAGCCAAGGAGAUUGGGGGUAGAGAGAUUGGCAGAGAAAGAACAAAAUGUCUUAUUUUCUCAAACAAUAAUGAUAAUAUAGAGGGAUAAAAACCUACAUAUUGGGUACAAUGUAUACUACUCAGGCGACAGGUGCACUAAAAUCUCAGCGUUCAUCACUGUACAGUUCAUCCAUGUAACCCCAAACCACCUGUACACCAAAAGGUAUUGAAAUUAAAAAAAAUU